This 200-nucleotide ribosomal RNA is filed under the name uncultured bacterium. RNAcentral's name for it is "partial 16S ribosomal RNA". It matches the Rfam family "Bacterial small subunit ribosomal RNA", at positions 28 to 239 of the family's 1533-position model. The record is from RNAcentral.
GAUGAACGCUGGCGGCGUGCCUAACACAUGCAAGUCGAACGGAUGCCUUCGGGCAUUAGUGGCGCACGGGUGAGUAACACGUGGUUGACCUACCCCAAAGUAGGGAUAACGUUCCGAAAGGAAUGCUAAUACCCUAUAAGCUCCCGAUGUUUAGAAGAUUGGGAGAAAAGUUCCGGCGCUUUGGGAGGAGACUGCGGGCC